Molecule: transfer RNA, 73 nt
Filed under: Treponema sp.
Lineage: Bacteria; Pseudomonadati; Spirochaetota; Spirochaetia; Treponematales; Treponemataceae
Also listed under: 1 other name
Description: tRNA-Lys
Rfam family: tRNA
About the family: Transfer RNA (tRNA) molecules are approximately 80 nucleotides in length. Their secondary structure includes four short double-helical elements and three loops (D, anti-codon, and T loops). Further hydrogen bonds mediate the characteristic L-shaped molecular structure. tRNAs have two regions of fundamental functional importance: the anti-codon, which is responsible for specific mRNA codon recognition, and the 3' end, to which the tRNAs corresponding amino acid is attached (by aminoacyl-tRNA synthetases). tRNAs cope with the degeneracy of the genetic code in two manners: having more than one tRNA (with a specific anti-codon) for a particular amino acid; and 'wobble' base-pairing, i.e. permitting non-standard base-pairing at the 3rd anti-codon position.
Source: RNAcentral
GGGCCGCUAGCUCAGCUGGUAGAGCAGCAGACUCUUAAUCUGCGGGUCGCAAGUUCGAUCCUUGCGCGGCUCA